RNAcentral lists this ribosomal RNA (427 nucleotides) under uncultured bacterium. RNAcentral describes it as "partial 16S ribosomal RNA". It matches the Rfam family "Bacterial small subunit ribosomal RNA", at positions 355 to 774 of the family's 1533-position model. The record is from RNAcentral.
UGGGGAAUAUUGGACAAUGGGCGAAAGCCUGAUCCAGCCAUGCCGCGUGUGUGAAGAAGGUCUUCGGAUUGUAAAGCACUUUAAGUUGGGAGGAAGGGCAUUAACCUAAUACGUUAGUGUUUUGACGUUACCGACAGAAUAAGCACCGGCUAACUCUGUGCCAGCAGCCGCGGUAAUUCAGAGGGUGCAAGCGUUAAUCGGAAUUACUGGGCGUAAAGCGCGCGUAGGUGGUUUGUUAAGUUGGAUGUGAAAUCCCCGGGCUCAACCUGGGAACUGCAUUCAAAACUGACUGACUAGAGUAUGGUAGAGGGUGGUGGAAUUUCCUGUGUAGCGGUGAAAUGCGUAGAUAUAGGAAGGAACACCAGUGGCGAAGGCGACCACCUGGACUAAUACUGACACUGAGGUGCGAAAGCGUGGGGAGCAAACA